UGGCUCAGGAUGAACGCUAGCGAAAUGCCUAACACAUGCAAGUCGAACGGAUCUUGCGUCGUAGCAAUACGUAGUAAGAUUAGUGGCAAACGAGCGAGUAACGCGUGCUUAACUUGCCCCGAAGAUGGGUAUAACUGCAGAGAUGUAGCUAAUUCCCAAUAUGCUCACGAUGGUGAAAUUCCAAUGUGAGGAAAGAUUUAUCGCUUCGGGAGAGUGGUGCGUCCUAUCAGGUAGUUGGUAAGGUAACGGCUUACCAAGCCUAUGACGGGUAACCGGUCUGAGAUGAUGUCCGGUCGCGAUGGGACUGAGAUACGGCCCAUACUCCUACGGGAGGCAGCAGUGGGGAAUCUUGCACAAUGGACGAAAGUCUGAUGCAGCAAUUUCGCGUGAAGGAUGAAGCAUUACGGUGUGUAAACUUCUUUUUUGGCAGAAGACGAAUGACGGUAUGUCAAGAAUAAGAGACGGCUAACUACGUGCCAGCAGCCGCGGUAAUACGUAGGUCUCAAGCGUUGUCCGGAUUUACUGGGCGUAAAGUGUCCGUAGUCUGAAUUGUAAGUCUGUUUUCAAAUCCUACGACUCAAUCGUAGAAAGGGAGUGGAUACUGCAAUUCUGGAAGUAUCUGGGGGUUAGUGGAAUUUCCGGUGGAGCGGUGAAAUGCGUUGAUAUCGGAAGGAACGCCGAAAGCGAAAGCAGCUAACUACAGAAUACUUGACGAUGAGGGACGACAGUUCGGGUAGCAAACAGGAUUAGAUACCCU
Molecule: ribosomal RNA, 757 nt
Filed under: uncultured bacterium
Lineage: Bacteria
Description: bacterial SSU rRNA
Rfam family: Bacterial small subunit ribosomal RNA
Source: RNAcentral